RNAcentral lists this long non-coding RNA (38594 nucleotides) under Daucus carota (carrot). Its description in RNAcentral is "long non-coding RNA (DCAR_LNC006456)". The record is from RNAcentral. Lineage: Eukaryota; Viridiplantae; Streptophyta; Magnoliopsida; Apiales; Apiaceae.
UUGUCUAAGCCUCUUAUGAAUAUGAUCGGCUAACGUGCCCCCUGCCAUAAAUUCAUAAACAAGAAUCAUCUCAUAACCUUCAUCACAGUAACCAAUCAAGGACACUAGAUGGCUGUGCCGAACUUUUGAGAGCAUCUCAAUCUCUGCCCGGAAUUCUGUGGAUCCUUGACUCGACAUGGAUUUCAACCGUUUUAUGGCAACUAAAGUUGCUCCCAGAGUUCCUUUGUAAACAUUUCCAAACCCGCCUUUUCCGAUCACUAAAUCGUCGUGGAAGUUAGAUGUCGCCCGCUUCAUCUCAUUAAAGGAGAAACGGUAACAUGAUUGUCGAGUAGACAAUGAUUGAAGCCAGUUAUUUUGCUCCACGACUUCUGCUUCUUGAAGUUUUUGGAGCAUAUAAACCACGAUAUUCAAGAUGGUAAUAAGAAUAAUUGCUAAAUUUACAAUGAUGUUUGUAUUAGCAUGCAGAUCGCGUUGACACUUGCCAAGUUAAGAUCCAGCAAACAUGAAUACGUUAUGUAACUUGUAACAAUAUUUGUUCAUUUUAGGGGGAAAAAGUUUAAUAAUCCGUUAAAUGUUGGCAUGUUGAACUGAGUGAAAUUUGGGAGAGAAAUAAAGGUUGAAGUCGUAGAUGCAGUAUGAACCCAUUCCUUGACUUUCAAAUGCAGAGCUGAUAUAUUCCUUGAAUUCUUCAUCGUAGAGCUGUCUGAGAUAUCAUGCCCAAUGACUUAGCGAGAGCAGACAAGAACCCUGAGAUAAACUCACAAGUUUUCUCCGUUAAAUUCAAACAUAUAAAUAUAGUUUUUUUUUUUUUUUGCGACAAUAUAAAUAUAGAGUUUACUUCUUUGUAUGAUUUUGUUUGUCUUAUCUUUUUUGUUUGUCUUAUCUUAUUUUUCAAAUUUAAAUUAUUUACUUUAAAAAAUAUAUAAAAAUAUAUACUUCCUCCGUCCCUGUCAUUUCUUUACAGUUUUUUUCACCGCUCGACACGCAUUUUAAGGCUCUUAUAAAAUAUAGUCCCGUAACUUAUUUUUCAAAUUUUCUUUUUGUGUAUAAAAAUUCAAAUUUUUAUUAGAAAAAACGAAUUAAGAAAUAUGUUACGGGGAACUAUGUUUUCUAUUAUUAUUAAAAUACGUGCCGAACUCUCGUCCCCCCACCUAAACUACCUAGGGGCAGAGCAGGGGCGGACCCAUAGCCUUGGCUAUGGGUUCCCGGGCACCCACUCAACUUCCCACCGAAGUGUAAUUAUAAGGUAAAUUUCGGUUAAAAAUUAAUUUAAAAUUUAGCAGGAACCCACUAAAAUAUUUACCAAACUCAUUAUUUACCUCAAUAAUUUAGAGAUCUUAUUAACUAUUGGGCGAUUGGUGUUCGGAAUAAUUUAAAAUGUUGUAUUUAUUAAGAUAUUUGUCUAAAUAUAUACUUUUUAGUUUCCGGUGUUCUUUAAAUUAACAUUUAAUAUUAAUAUCAAAAAUUUAAAUAUUGAUAUCUAAAUAAAUAUUUAUUAUUUAUAUUACUAAAGUAAAAUAAGGAACCCAGUGAGAAAAAUUUCUGGGUCCGCCACUGGGGCAGAGGGAGUAUUACUUUGGUAUUCACCCAAAUACACUAGAUAAUCACAUAUUCUCCUGGUAUAGACCUCGUCACAGCAUUGUGCUGGAGUUACUCUGACCGUAAGGAAGUAGGUAAGGAUACCAGCUAGUGGAGUUUUUACUCUAUAAACAACAGCAACGAAAAAACAUACAUAUAUUCACCGACUCUAAAAGUCUAAGUCAUACAAUGAAAACAAGACAAACGCAUUUGACAUUUGGAUCAGAUAACCUGGAUUACUGGCCCUUAAUAUAUAUUUUAAUAUUCUAAUACAGAUUAAGAGAUAGUUGUUGGCUUCCUCUAAUCUCAACACUUAUUCAACUCAAAUUUUCCCCGAUGAUUCACAUAUAUUAAUCUACAUAUAUAUCACUUAUGUGAAGAUCAUUAAGAUCAUUAAGCCUAUAAAUACAAGGCUUUAGUUAACUAAUACAAAACAAAUUAAAGAUGGGAAGAUCAAUAGCAAUCUCUCUAGUUGUAGUACUAGUGUGUCUCAUCUUAGCAUCAGAAACAGCAGCAAAGAAACGAAAAUCUCCCCCACCACCUAAACAAUCUCCAACGCUUUAUCACUCCCCUCCUCCACCAAGAGCUGUGGAAUAUCCUCCGCCACCACCUCCUAUUUAUUCUCCCCCACCUCCACCUCCUCCACCUCCUCCUCCUCCUCCUCCUCCUCCCAUGCACUCAUUGCCACCACCAUUUCAUUAUCACUCACCGCGCCAUCCGGUUCAUGCCCCACCACCACCUAAGCACCAUUCUCAUCACUACAAGUACAAGUCUCCGCCACCACCUGCACAUUAUCCCGCACCAAAAUAUCACUACAAGUACAAGUCUCCGCCACCACCACCACCAGCCACGCAUCAUUAUUACUUUAAUUCACCUCCCCCUCACCACUACUAAGAUGAAGUGUCCUCAUUGCCGAACAAGAUGAGGUAAUAUUAAUGGCGUACGUGCAUGAUGUUUUCGAUAUAUCUAUGGGAUCAAUAUAUGAUGAUGUAAGGCAUCUAAUUUUCAUUUUAUGUAUCAAUAAUUUGUUCACAAUCAAUAAAAUUUUGUUAUGUGUUCAGCGUGAUCAGAUACUAAUUAAUAUUUCAUGUUUGAUCUCACGAGGAGUGUGAUAUAAAAUUCAUGGUUUAAUUACUGUAUGUACCAUUUUAGACUUUUUAGUAGAGCACCCUCUCUCGUAUAUAUUGUUACUCAGUACUCCCAUUUUAUAUGACUUUUACUCUUUUUUGGGACGUCCACAUACUUACUAUUUUUGAACACUACUUUCUACUAUUACACUAACUACUUUCUUCCACUAUCUCCAUUAUAUAAUAAUAUAAACACUAUUACACCCACUACUUUCCUCCACUAUCUCAAAUCUAUUAUUAAAUAUUGAUAGGUUCUCCCAUUUUUCAACUAAACUUACUACUCCCUCUGUCCCCUCAUUUGUUUACAUUGGGGGACGGGGGCUCGUCACGCAUUAUAAUGCUCUCGUAAAACGUAGUUCGAUAAAUUAUUUCGAACUUUUUUUUGUUCUGAAUAAAAAUUUGAUGUUUAUAUUUUUAUACAAAAAAGAAAAAAAUUAAAAAUAAGCCUUAAAAUGCGUGUCGAGCAGUGUGAAAAAACUGUAAACAAAUGAGGGGACAGAGAGAGUAUCUUUUUCUUAAUCUUCGUGAAAGUCAAACCAGCUCAUUUAUUAUAGGACGGAGAGAGUACGUAGUUAGUACAUGCAUAUUCAACAGGUUAAAGUCAAGGUGUUGCUCGCUCCUCCAAAGAAAAAAUGUAAAAUGUUCGCAUCAUAUUUGUCUCUGGAUAACUGAGAUGCGGCCACUUUUUUUUACGGAAAAUGUUUCGUGCACGUAAUUGUGUUCAAAAUUUUGUAUAUAAUAAUAUGUGGCAGGUUUUAAUUGUAAUGUGUCAUUUUAUUCACAUCAACAACCCCAAUUAAAAUAUUUUACAUCAAUUGUCAUCAUGUACAAAAAUUUUGUACACAAUAACAAAAAUGUACAAAUAUAUACUUAAUUUUGAAAAAUAUAUUUUUUUGCUUAUAUCUUCUAAUUUUUUUAUUUUGCUAAAUUUCUUAUAUCUUUUUAUUUACUGUUAGUUCAAUAAUAAAUCAAUAAACAUCAACCUCUUGCUGCACCUAACACUCAUUUUAAAGUACCAGUUCUACUGUUGCAUUUUGUUAAUCGAGUCCUCUCACGUCUCAUGAUCAUGAGGCUGGAUGCUUUUUAUUUAAAUUAUAAACAUCUGGAAUCGAUUUAACCAUUGUUUUAUAUUGUCUGUGUUAUUUUGAACUAAGAUCCAAUUUUCUAGAUAACAGGUCAUCAGUUUGGAAAAUGCCCUAGUCAGUCUUUAUUAGUGAUAUUCUACGCGCAUAGGCUUUUCUGAAGAAUAUAAAUUAUAACCAGGUGGGCGGAGGGCGGAUACACAUCUAUAUAUGUUUCCAAUUGGUCUGAGAUUAUGUUGGUAACUACAGAAUAAGGCUUGGUCUCCAUCCAUAGAUACGUUCCUAUUUUUCAUAGCUGACGUACCAAGUCAUAAAUACUUGUCUUAUUUCUAUUUUCAAACACAAUAUACAUGUAAAUCAAUUUAUUAAUUCAAUGCAUUUGUUAGAAGUACAAGGGAAACUAAUUAUUCAACUAUUUUUUUCUCAAGAUGGGUAAUUUUUUCAAAAGGACCUGUAAAAGUUGACGAAGAGAGUAUGUUUCAAGUUUAAUUUUAUCUCAUUCAAAUAAAAUUCAUUUAUAUAUAUUCAUAUUUUUCUUCAAAUAAAAAAUCUUGUAAUUAGUUAGAGCCUCUUUUAAAUCAUAAACUUUACGAGAUCUUAAAUGAUUAGUGAUUUAUAUAUGUUUAAGUUAGAUGAUGUACCAGUAAUAGUUAAGUAAAUUAGACGUUUAUUUUACAGUAUUAUUUAUCAUUAUAGUGCUAUUAGUAUAUUAAAUUAAUUUUCUGAUAUCGGGUUUCGGAUUUUGAGUUUCAGAUAGAGGUUUUCGAGUAUUUCAGAUAUCCAAUCCAAAAAAUUUGGGUUUCGAAUGUACCCGAAUUCGAUUCGAAAUCCGUUGGAUCAGAUUCGGGUAUUAAUUUUCGAAUAUUUUUCAGGUUUGGAUCGGAUUCUGCAAUGGAUAAAAAAUUCAGGUUUAAAUAUGAAUUAUGUCAUACCCGACCCGAUUGACAUCUCUGAUAAUUCAUACUACAUAAUCGCCUACUUAGUUUUAACGGAUUUGUACCUUGUUCUGGUGGUGGCAUGAUCUCGGCUAUAUGUGAUAUAUUGAUAUUGCCGACAUAAUCCGGACGCACUCGAAGAGCAUGAGGAUUCUUGUUUUUCUUACAACAUGGGCGUGAAAUCAAUCCGUAAGCAGGUGUAACUGUGAUAUUUUCUAUUAGUAUAUAAGAUUUUCUGAUUUAAUAAAAAAAUUCUAAGUUAAAUACCACAUUGGCGUGAAAUCAAUCCGUAGAGAUAAAACCUGCACCAUCUGCAUUGAUUUAAAACAUAUAAACAUCAAUAUUUUUUUGAAUAUUUUUUUAACAUUAUAUCUAACUAGUGAAUAAAGCCGCGCUUCGCGGCGGCGUUAUGAAUUUUUUAUAAAUUUUGAUAGGAAUUAAUAUUAUAAUUGCAUAAAAGUUAUUUUGAGUCAUGUUCCUGUUAAACAUAUCAUUAAUAAAAAAUAUUAUAAUUAAUAUAAAAAUUUGUUUAAGUGGUCCUCAUGUCAAACACAAUACUAAUAAAAAAAAUUGUUUGACCCGCCCUCCCAUCAAAGACAUGAUGAAGUUAAAGAUUAUAUUUGGAUAAAAAUUAUUUUAAGCUGUGGUCACGUUUUAAUAAAAAAAUACAUUAUAUCAUAGAUAAAAAUUUGUUUUAACCGCUUUCCCGUCAAACAUAAUACUAAUAGAAAAUUUAUUAUUAUUUAGAUAAAAAUUAAUUUGGGCCGCCCUCCCCUCAAACACAAUACUAAUCAAGAAUUUUUUUUAGAAAUUUUGAUACGAAAUAAUAUUAAACUUACAUAAAAUUUAUUUUAAGUCAUGUUCCUAUUAAACAUAUCAAUAAGAAAAAAUAUUAUAAUUAAUAUAAAAAUUUGUUUAAGUGGCCCUCAUGUCAAACACAAUACUAAUAAAAAAAAUGGUUUGACCCGCCCUCCCAUCAAAGACAAUAUUAAUCAAUAAUUAUGAUAAAAUUAAAUAUAAUAAUAUAGAUAAAAAUUAGUUUGAGCUACUCUUUUGUCAAGCACAAUACUAAUAACAAAAUAUUAUAAUAUAGACAUUAGUUUGAGUGGCCCUACUGUCGAACACAAUACUAAUAAAAAAUAUUAUAAUUAUGAUAAAGUUAAAGAUUAUAUUCGGAUAAAAAUUAUUUUAAGCCGUGGUACCAUUUUAAUAAAAAAUACAUUAUAAUAGAUAAAUAUUGUUUUAGCCGUUUUACCGUCAAACAUUAAUACUAAUAGAAAAUUUAUUAUUAUUUAGAUAAAAAUUAAUUUGGGCCGCCCUCCCCUCAAGCACAAUACUAAUUAAGAAUCAUUUACAUUAUGAUAAAAUUAUAAUUAUAAAUGGAUAAACAUAUCCAAUUUUAUAGAUUUUAGCUAUUAUAUUUUUCUUUAAGAUUCAGAUUUUUUAAUUGUUUAAAAUUAUCUCUCUUUUCUUUUAGGAUUCCUAUUUCUUAAUUACUUAGAAUUUUCAUAGAUUUUAGCUAUUAUAUUUUUGUUAAAAUUCCUAUUUCUUAUCUACUUAGAAUUAUAUCGCUCUUACGAUUACUAUUUUUUAGCUACCUUACCUAUUUUCUCACAAAAAAUUAGAAAAAUUAAACAGAAUUCCCGCGUAUCUUCUCAAGAAUCAUUUAAAUUAUGAUAAAAUUGUAAUUAUAAUUGGAUAAAUAUAUCCAUUUUUAAUAGAUUUUAUUUUUUAAUUUUUUUGAAUUAUCUCUCUUUACUUAUAAUCUUUACUUAUAAGAUUCCUAUUUGUUAACUACCUAGAAUUUUACAGAAUUUCACAAAUUUAGGAGGCGCUUUUCUCAUCUUUCUUUAUAUUCUUUACAAUAAAUUCACCAAAAUAAUAAUAUAAAAAAGACCGAACCUGACAUGAACGUAUUCUUUUAAUUGCAAAAAGAAAACAUGUUAAAGAACUCAAGACAUGGUUUGAACUUUGAUGAUGAAUGAAAUCACAACCACCCCAUGAUUUGAGAUUAAUUAUUGGCAAUAGUGGCCGCAAGCCGUUUGAUCAACAGGCAAAUCUAAGGUGUAAUUUCUUUUUCUUUAAAAGCAGCACCUUGAUAACCUUUUGGCCAGCCGGCGAGGGGUUAUGAAAAAUCAUGGGUACUAAUUACUAUAGCCUCGAACGGCUACAUAAAUAAACAUAACAGAACAUAUAAUGGCCGUUUGGAUGAGUUUAAAAUAAGUGCUUCUUGCUUAAAAUAAAAAAGUGGAGCAGAAGUUAGAAGCAAAUUAAGACUUAUAAGUGAUUAAAGUGUUUGAGAAAGAAGUAGAAGUCCUGAAACAAAAGUUAGCAUUCCUAGCUUAUUAUAAGUGCUUCUUGACUUAUUAUACAAACGGUACGAAUAAGUGCUCCUAACUUAUAAUCCAAGAAGCUGGACUUAUAAGUGUUACACAAACACCCACAUAAACGCAAACACACUAAGCUGUUGACAUCAGAUUCAGUUUAGUAGGAUUCAUGCGGUGUCAAAAUCAGGAAUUUGUAGAAAUUUUGGAAAAGACGGUGCGCCAAAACAAUCAAAGAUAAAACUAAAAGAAAAAUCACAUGGACUUAAAACAUCUUGAAAUUUCUGUUAGGUAAUCCAUAGNCCAAUAAGUUUCUGAAUAAAUCUCUUCCGAUGAGUUUCCGGAUAAAUUUAAGAAAAUUAUAAGACUAAAUUGAAAAUAAGAAUUGUAUUACUUUAUAAAUCUCAAAUAUAAAUUGUAUUUCUCUUAGGAUUUCUAAAUAAGAAAAGAAUUGUAUUAUCUUUAGAAUCCAAUAAGAAAAAGAAUCAUAUUAUCUUUAGAAUUGUACUAAACUUGAAUUUUUUUGAAUUAUAAUUAUAUUUUUCAUCCGAAAUUUAAGAAAAAUUAGAAGACUGAAUCGAACGAUUCUAGAGACACCCGCAUCCUCCUUUAUAUAUAUAUAUGAUUAGUCCGCCAAUUUGAAUAAAUAAUAUAAGUUAGCUCGUUGAAUUGUUUAUGUUAGAAUCAAUUAUACAAUCAUAUUUUAUAUAUUAAUUUUUUUUACUUAAAUUAGUUCAAUUUCAAAAUUUGAUUUUCAUUUAUUCGAUUUUUUUGUAUACAGUAGUUUGACUGAUUCCGUUAAAUAUUAUGUCCACUAUAUCUUUGUUUACCGUAUAAAUCAUUCAGUAAUAAACAAGUCAUGUCCAACUUUAUUAGAAUGUUCAAUACCAAAUGAUAACAUAGAAAACAAAAUUUUAAUAUUCAAACUAUGCAAUUUUUUACCGUUGCACAAUAUUUUUUUACCGUUUUGCAACAUUAACUAAAAUAUUAGUAGGGUUACGUUUUUCCUUAAAUCUGGUACUCUACUCUAGUCAGAAAACUAUUGCAGCAAUAGUUGGCAUAUUAGAAGUUAAUAGAAAAAGUCCAGAGGUGUAGUCCUCUGGAUGAUCAACUAAGGAACCCUUGACAGAUGAAGUUAGGAAGCUCUUGGAUGUUGAGUUCACCUGCCACAAAUGUAUGAGCUAUAUCGAGGGACAGAUAACAAUACUCAAGAAGGUCAAUUCUUUCGUAUUUACUCCAGCUAGAGUGUUUCAGGUACUCUCUAGCAAUGAACUCUGCGUGCUUGCCGUCUAUGCUCUGCCAAAUGUCCUCCAGAUCACCGUAAAUUGGAAAGCUCUUAAUCAUCUGAAUUUAUUAAAUGAGGAAUUUCAUUUAAUCAAUUCAAACUGCUUAUGUGUUAAAGAAAUUGACUGCACCUGAACCUUAGCCGUGCCUAAGUAAGUAAUGAAUAUUAGGGCGAUCCCUUGAACUGGCCACCUGAAUCCUCGCUAUCAGCCUGUGUUCUGUACAAGGAACUCAGAUUAAAAUCCAUUUAUCAUCAUUCAAUUAUAUAUUUUAUUGCUUAGAUUGUCAAUUUAGAACUGAGAAUUUAUAUAGCAUUUUAUGUUACUAAUACUCAUUUGUGCAUCCCCUAACCUCUCUUGAAUCUUACCUCAGUAUCUUCACUCUCUUACUCACCUCACCUGAUUCUCGCUCAACUCUCAACUCUCAUCUCACUUUCUCCACUCUCUCUCUCAUUAAAAGUGCAUUUGAACCGUAAGUAGGGUUAAUCGCCUCAAUUGGGUUCAAUCCUCGCUCUCUUUUGCUCUGGCUAAUUAAAGUAGCUAAUCGAAGCAGGGAAUUCAUGGAUCUUAAUGGAUUUUACGGGUCUUCAUGAAUUUCUUAUAAUUGAUACAAUUACAUCGACUUUUUCAUGGAUUUUGUACUAAUCAGGACUACAAUCUUCAUUUUCCAGGAGAUUAGGGCUCUCUCUCGAGGCUUGAAGUCGGGGCUUUUACUUUGAGAUUUGAGUUAGGACUUUCAAUUAAGGUAAAUCCAUAUUUAAUUAUGGUAUAAAUUUGGGUUUUGUAUUCUAUAUGUGAUGCCAUAAAUAUGGGUUUUGUAUUCUAUAUGUGAUGUUUUAAUUUACAUGUUUUAAUCAAGGUAAAUCGAAUCCUUAUGGUGUAACUUUGGUUUUGUUUUUUAGAAUAUACUGUAUUGAUUGAAAUAGAAUGGGAGAAAGAAGAGGGCGAGAGACAAAGUAGUCGAGUCUAUAGAGAGUCACAGAUUAAGAGAGUUAAAGAAAAUAGGAACCUUAGGGUGAUUUUAUAUAUAUGAACUUUACACCUUAUGUACUUUAUCUUUGGUGUAUCUUGAUUUUCUUGCUUGUCCAUCCGUAUUUAUAAAGACAGACUAGAACUUAUAGUAACUCUACAAUCUUCUUUCCAUUGCAAAGUUGCAUCUUAUUAAGAUCUAUUCCUGCAGGCAGAAUGAGAUUGAUAGUAAAUUUCUAGAAGCACAGAACAUCAUGGACUAUAGUUUUCUGCUUGGUGUGCAUUAUCAAGCUCCGCAGCAUCUGCGAUCUCUUAUGUCUUAUAAUCAAAGUCUGGCAGACGGACUUGGAGUAGUUGCGGAAGAAGGUGGGAUGCACAUUUGUAUAACCAAUUUAUGAUUUAAAGAUUCCUAAAUCUUUCGAUCAGGAUAGGUCACACAUAAGAAAAUUGAUUUCUAUUUCACAGCUAAAAGUCACGCAUUUUUCAUAACUAUAUUAACUUCAGAGCACUAGACUCCUUCUGCAGAGUAUCGCGAUAUAACCUUGUGAAUAUCAUUGAUUCACCUUGCACUCUUUUCUUACUGGUACUGUUUAUAGUUUUCUAGUAUCUUUAGGUAGAACAAGAAUACUAGUAUUCUUAAUUAAUAGUAGCAAUCUUGGGAGAGGAUGUGUAUGGCAAAAAGUAAGGGGGGAAAUGGGUUUCAGAGUUUUGCACGGCUUCAACUUGGCCUUAUUGGGGAAGCAGCUAUGGAAUUUCAUGAGUAAUCCUGACGCACUGGUUACACGUAUCUUUAAAGCCCGAUAUUUCAGUGAUUGUCAUUUAUUGAAAGCAAAGUGAGGUGCUGGUUCGAGUUUCUUAUGGACGGGCUUAUGGGAGACUAAAGAAGAGUUGUAUAAAGGCUAUAAAUGGGUUUUGGGUGAUGGAAUGGAUAUUGAAAUAUUUAGAGACCCAUGGUUACAGGGAAAAAGAGAAUUAUGUGUGGAAGACUACCAUGAUAACAAUGUCAGACCUGACAAAGUGUGCGCACAUUUCCGUUCUAAUACUAAAGAGUGGGACGAGCAUAAGGUAUGCCAAACUUUUCUCGAUGAUGAUGUUAAAUGCAUUCUUCAGACUAGAGUUCCUCAAAUUGGAAAGAAAGAUAGGGUGGCUUGGAUGGCAACUGUUGAUGGUAAGUACACUGUUAAGUCUGGGUAUCAUUACUAGUAUGACAAAAGUGGGAAUAUGGCCUCUGUUAUUGAGUGGAAUAGGUUAUGGAAUCUUGAUCUACCACACAAGAUCAAGAUAUUUAUAUGGAGGUUUUGUAGAAAUAACCUUCCUGUUAGAAAUUUGCUGAGAUGUAAAAGGUGUGUAUCCCAAUUUUAUGUCCAACGUGCAAUGCGGAUGAUGAGCAUUUACUUCACUUAUUUUUUGACUGUGGCUACGCUAAGAAAUGUUGGGAGGAAGCUGGUUUGAGCUAUGAUAUGAGGACAGUGGAGGAUGCUUUUCAUUGGCUCCUUGAGAGGUUAAGUACUGAAAUGAGCGAAAAGUUGAUUAUCAUAACAAAAGUGCUAUGGGGCAUCUGGUUUGGUCGUAAAAUGAAAGUGUGGGAUUCAAAUAGGGGUGACAGUUUUAUCCGACCCGAUGGAUACUCGACCCGUUCCGACCCGAUUGGGUCUACCCGAACCCGAUAUAGUUGGAUCUGGAUCCGGAUCUGGAUCUUAUUUUCAGACCCGAAAGAGUUUGGAUCUGGAUCUCAUAUAUUCCGAACCGAGAACCGACCCGAAACCCGAUUUAAACCUGAUCCGAACCCGAAACCCGAUAAAAACCCGAUACAAAAUAUUUUUAUAUAUAUAUAUAUAUAUAUAUAUAGGAGGAAGAUCCUAAGAAAACCCAGCUUAUCAAGAAAACUGAGAAACCCACUUAAUCACCGUUCAUCUCAUAAUCAUAAUAUUUAUCAAAAUAUCAAUCAAAUCUAAUUUAUAAAGGAUAGUAUAGUAAUCUUCUACAUACAUUUAAUGCAUUCAAUAAAUACAUGCAUUUAAUGCAUUCAAUCAGUACAUUUCUUUCUUCAAAAAGAUUUGUCUAAGAUUUGCUUCAAUAUUCACGCAUUAUCCAUACUGCAUCAAUCAAGCUCACAUAUAAGGAUUAAAUUAGUAAAAUAUAAAUAUUAUUUAACUAACAUAAAUAAUAAGAUAUGCAAUUAAUUGAUUUCUUUUUUUUAUAUUAUUUAUAUCUCAUUAAUAGUCAGAGCAUUUAGUGUAUAUUAAAUUUGAAUUUCAAAUUUCAAAAUUUCUAAGUUUCACCGUGAGAAAUAGAAAAGAUAUAAUAACAUUUUUUUAGCAUUUAUUUUUAUUUAUAAUUUUUUGACGUAAGAGGUUUCUUAAAGUAUUCCUUUAGAUAUUAUUAUAACUUUUGUAUUCGUAUUCUUUUAUAUUAAUUGGUUUAAGAUUUUUCGAAAUAAUAAUUAAUAAAAAUAUUAAAAGAGUCAAAAGAAUAUCAUACAGUGAAUAAUUUAUACAAGAAAAAUCUCAAAUUUUAAAAGAAUCUUGCAUGACACAAAUAUUUAUUAUUAAAAAUAAUAAAAUAUCUUAGAGAAUCUUUAAAAUUUUAUUAUUUAAGAUCAUAUUCUAAAAUACAUUUAGAUAAGAUAUUUUCAUAGGUAUUAUCAUGUGUACGAAAUUACUCAACAAAAUCAGAUCAAAUAUUUUCUCAUUAACUAUAGGAGAGGUAUUUCAGUUUUAUUAAUAUAACAUAUAUGAUAAAUGUCAUUUGAAUGUAAUUGGAUUCCUUCAAGUGUUUAUAUUCAAAGUAAUAAAAUAUAACAAGAUUUCGUUAAGUGUUUUGAUGCAUAUUUUAAAAGAAUAUUGCAUGGCACAAAUAUUUAUUAUUAAAAAUAAUAAAAUAUCUUAGAGAAUCUUUAAAAUUUUAUUAUUUAAGAUAUUAUUCUAAAGAGCAUUUAGAUGAGAUAUUUUCAUAGGUACUGUCAUGUGUAGGAUAUUACUCAACGGAAUCCGAUCAAAUAUUUUCUCAUUAACUAUAGGAUAGGUAUUUCAAUUUUAUUAAUAUAACACAUAUGAUAAAUGUCAUUUAAAUGUAAUUGGAUUUCUGCAAGUGUUUAUAUUCAAAGUAAUAAAAUAUAACCAGAUUCCAUUAAGUGUUUUGAUGCAUAUUUUAAAAGAAUCUUGCAUGACACAAAUAUUUAUUAUUAAAAAUAAUAAAAUAUCUUAGAGAAUCUUUAAAAUUUUAUUAUUUAAGAUCUUAUUCUAAAGAGAAUUUAGAUAAGAUAUUUUCAUAGUUACUGUCAUGUGUAGGAAAUUACUCAACGGAAUCUGAUCAAAUAUUUUCUCAUUAACUAUAUGGUAGGUAUUUUUUUUUUUUGAAGAUGAGAAUAAAUCUCACAAAUAUGAAUCGGCAAUUCACUGUGAUAAUUCUUUCAUUCAACAAAGCUUAUCAUCUAACCGUCGGAUAUGCAAGAUGACCGGGGAAAUUUAGACAAUAAAACUUUAAUGUCCGAAAAGAAAAACCCGUCUUCUUCCAAGAAUCCUGAAAAUUAAAACGAAGGAAAUAAAAAGAAUCUUGCAUGACACAAAUAUUUACUAUUAAAAAUAAUAAAAUAUCUUAGAGAAUCUCGUACAUAUAUUCCAAAAAGAUUUUGUAUGGUCAUGUUAAUGAUUAGAUAUUUAAGAUUCGAUUAAGUGUUUUAAUAUCAAAUUACUAAAUUAAAUAUUAAGCAUUUAUGAUACUAAAUGCUUUCUAUUUAAUGUUUUAAUUAAUUAUUUACUAUUGGAUAAAAAGUAAGAUUUUGACAUGUUAACUUCAUUAGUAAAAUGGUAAUGGAACCUUAAUAUUUUAACUUCAUUAGUAAAAUGGUUAAUAGAAUCUUAAUAUUUUAACAUCAUUAGUAAAAUGGUGUUAAACAUCUUAACAUCAUUAGUAAAAUGGUUAAUAAAAUCUUAAUAUUAAUCUUUCACUUAUCACAAAAAUAAAAAAAAUUAUAAUACAUCAUGUUUUUUUGUAAAAUAGUUAAAAAAAAUAAUUAAAGCAUUAAACAAAAAUUAUUUAAUAUCCUACCAAAUGUUCGUAAAAUCUAUUAAUUUUUUAACAAAUAAUAGUAUUAAAAUAUUAUCAUUAAACAUUCUUAUUAACAUCUUAUAAAAUAUACACGUUCUUUAAUUAACAUAAAUAAUAAGAUAUACAAUUAAUUGAUUUCCUUUUCUAUAUUAUUCAUAUCUUAAUUAAUCAGUGUGUAUUCAGUUUGAAUUUCAAAUUUCAAAUUUCAAAAGAUUCAACUUGAUAAAUAGAAAAGAUUUAAUGAUAUUAUUUUAGCAUUUGUUUUUAUUUAUGAUUUUUGGAUGGAGGAGGUUUCUUAAAGUGUUCCUUUAGAUAUUAUUAUAAUUUUUGUAUUGGGAUUCUUUUAUAUUAAUUGGUUUGAGAUUCUUCAAAGUAAUUAUUAAAAUUAUUAAAAGAGUCACAAGAAUAUCAUAAGGUAAAUAAUUUAUACGUGAAAAAUCUCAAAUUUUAAAAGAAUCUUGCAUUGCACAAAUUUUGUUAUUAAUUUUUUUUAGAGAAUCUCGAAUAUAUAUUCUAAAAGAAUAUAGUAUGGUCUUAAUUUAAUAUUAAAAUUAAGAUUCUAAAAGUUUUAUUAUCAAGUUUUCUCUGAAUAAAAGAUUCUACUAGAAGUUUUCUCUGAAUAAGCAUAACUAGAACACAAACUAGAACAUCCAUAAACAACUAGAACACAAACUAGAACACCCAGAAACUAACUGAAGAACAACUUCCACAAGAACCUAGUAUUCUAAGCAAACAUAACUAGAACACAAACUAGAACACCCAAAAAUUAACUCAAGAUUAACUUCCACCUUAGUAAAGAACCUAGUAUUCUAAGAAGAUCAUCUAGUAUUCUAAGAAGAUCAUGUGGAAUCCUCGAAACUUUCCCUCUCCAAGAGAUUCUGAUCAACAUCCAUCAAGUCUUUACUCGCGACGUAGAAACAGGAAAUCGAAGAAUCAAAAAGUAGGACCUCCGAGGAAAACAAAAGCUAUUAAGAACAUAGGUUAGCAUUCUCCGAAAUGUUUGGAUCAUGGAGAUUCUUGAGCAUUCUAUCCUCAAGAACAUCCUGAGCAUUUUAUCCUCCAGACUUGGGAACUCACAGAUGAACCAAUUUUCUCAUAAAUCAAUCUUCCGCCUCGUUCUUCUUCUGCCCAACUUGAAAUUGUUGACUCGAUUGGUUUGUACGACUUGAAAUUAAAAAAACUCAAAGGUUGAGGGUACUCCUUGAUGUUAAAAAGUAGAACCUUUUCGAAUCCAAUCUCCACAACCCAUUGCCUUUGUGCAUCUGAAAGAUUGUUCACGAUUCUUUUUAAGAAGAUAGGUUUGGCUCAAACCAACAAACGGUCGGUGUUCUCAUGGAGAUUCUUCUCCACCAUUAUAUCUCUGAAAAUGAAGCGAGGCUAUUUUGCGAUAGUUUGAAAAGGAAUACAAGAGUCACAACAAUUAAAUGAUAUGAAAAAGAUUUAAGAUCGAUGAGAAUGAUAUGUCGUACAAACCUUCGAUUGAUGAAUCAUAGUGUUUACACGACCUCGUAGUUUUCUCCUGCUUACAAUUCUAGUGGUUCUUCAUCACAAUGUAUACAUGUAAUGAUCUGAUAUGUAAAGAUUUGUGAUUAAUUUAUGUGCUUUGAUUGGAUUUUGGCAGAUGCCAAAAUUAUAAAAUUUCUAAUUAAUCAAAAAUAGAUUCCUUACGAUUUUGCCCUUGUGUGUGUUAGAUUUUGAUAUUUUUUGAUUGGAUUUAAUUUGGGAAAUGAUUAUAUAUGACAAAAAUAAUCAACGGCAUCUAAGAGGGUUUUUCAGUUUUCUUGAUAAUUUGGUUUUCUCUGGAACCUCACUCAUAUAUAUAUAGGCUCAUGAUCAAAUAGAAACCACUCUUAAAAUAAAAACUAGAAACCAGUUUCCCUACCACUAUUUAUAACUACGGGUAUCACUAAUUUAUACUGCACUAAUCACUGUUUUUAUAGAGUAUGUAAACAGCGAUUUUUAUCAUCAAAAUUGAGAAAAUUUACUUAUCUAAAUUAUUGAUAAUCGAUUAUAGAUGAUUAAUUUCAUCCGUAGGAAGGUUCUUGGUGGUAGGAAGCCGCAAUAGAAGCUGUAUGAUGAUGGUAAAAUAAUCGUUAGUUUUGUAAGUUAUGAUGGAAAGUGUAUGUGACUAUUGGUGAUGAUAGAACAAUGGUGGCAAGUUAUAANNNNNNNNNNNNNNNNNNNNNNNNNNNNNNNNNNNNNNNNNNNNNNNNNNNNNNNNNNNNNNNNNNNNNNNNNNNNNNNNNNNNNNNNNNNNNNNNNNNNNNNNNNNNNNNNNNNNNNNNNNNNNNNNNNNNNNNNNNNNNNNNNNNNNNNNNNNNNNNNNNNNNNNNNNNNNNNNNNNNNNNNNNNNNNNNNNNNNNNNNNNNNNNNNNNNNUAUAUAUAUUAUGUUUCAUGUAAAGUAUAUAUUCUUUCUUAAAAUUUUAGUUGUUAUGAUAUUAUAUAUUUUAUAAAUUGAUAGUAUAAAUGAUAAAUAUUUUUAUUAUCUAUUUGUAUAUCCUUUUAUAAUAUUAAUAUGUAUAUGCUUUUAUAAAAAAAUAUAGAAUAAUCUAUUAUUCUAUAUGCUUUAAUAAAAAAACAUAAAAAUAUCUAUUUUUUAUAUAUUUUUAUAAUAUUUUCAAUAUCUAUUUGUAUGUUUUUUUUAUAAAAAAACUUGAAAAUAGAAAGGAUUACCUAAUAACUUUCAAAUUAUAAAUAUAGCUCAAAAUUUAUUAUUUAUAAUUUAAAUUCUAAUAAAUUGAAAUUUGAUUAAAUUAUAUUAACCUACUCAUAUAUUUUUUCUUAAAAUUUUAGCUGUUAUGAUAUUAUAUAUUUUAUAAAUUUAUAGUAUAAAUGAUAAAUAUUUUUAUUAUCUAUCUGUAUAUACUUUUAUAAUAUUGAUAUGUAUAUGCUUUUUUAAAAAACAUAGAAUAAUCUAUUAUCUAUAUGUUUUUAUAAAAAAAACUUAGAAAUAUCUAAUUUUUAUAAUAUUUUUAAUAUCUAUUUGUAUUUUUUAUAAAAAAACAUGAAAAUAGAAAUGAUUACCUAAUAACUUUCGAAUUAUUAUUUCUCAGAACCUCUAUUAUGUUACACAUCAAAUAGAUGAUACUACUAUGUACAUCUAUUUUGAAUUAAAUAUCAAUUCAAUUCUAUACAGCACUUGUGUAAUGUACAAGCAGUUUUCUUUAAACUUCAGUUUUACAACUAUAUCCAAAAGUCCACUAAAGAUGUUAAAAUAUGUGUUGCCAUCAUGACAGCACAUCUCCGGAGGAACUUUUUGACGAAGUGUGAGUUCUUUUUAGAUUUAAAAUUUAACGUCUAUGUUAUUUUCCAUAUCAAGUUUUUUGCUUAUACUAAUAUUUGAGCAUAUAUAUAUAGGUUGACAUAAGUGAAUUAUUUACAGCACUAUAUUGUGAGGAUCAUUCUUGUCCCUUAGGAAAAAAAAUUGUUUGUAUAUUUUUAAUAGAGAAUCAUGACUAUAAGACUAUCAGUUGCAUGGAGCACUGGACUGUUUUUUUUUUUCAAUUUGUGAUGCCAGAGACAUAUAUAUCCUUGGAAUAUGAAAUAUAAUCUGCGGUACUUUAGGCAAGUGAUAUAAGUAAAAUAGUAAUAGUGCUAUUCUAAAUUCCUUUAAGUUGGCUUACAUAAUACUACUGCUUAAUUUGACAGAGUGCAACUUUUCAUUUCUUCGAACCUGCUAAACUAAUUCUUAUAAAGGGAAAAACUUGAGAAAAAGGACAUCAAGAGGCUUACUAAGUCCUAACUAUGCCUUACAUUUGAAGACCUUAAAUAGAAAUGUUUUUCUUCACCUUAUGUAUAUUCUCUCUCUGUAUACACAUGAUAUACACACUUGAUUAAAGUUUGGUUUGUUUAUUCACUAAUUUAUAAUCUAGAUGAAUAUAACCAAUCGGUUAAUAAAAUUUUAUACAAUUUUAUUUAAUUAAUAAUAAAACGCUAAUAAAAGGAUAUUAAGUUUAUAAAUAAUAAAAUUAAAAAAAUAUGGUCGCCCGUGCGAAGCACGGGUUAUAGGCUAGUAUUAUACUAAUAAGGGAACUAGUACUUAAACGAAGAAGAAGAUUACUGUUGUGUUUGGUUGAGGUGAAUGAAAAUGGAAGGAAUGGAAUAAGAUUUGAACUAUAAUUUAGUUGAAUGUAUAGUAAUUUCAUUCCUUCUACCAUUCCAUUCUUAUCACUCUUAACUAAAGCUCCAACUCUCCAUUUUGUGAAGGAAUGAUCCAUUCCUUAUCAUACCUAUUUUCUACCCAAAUCUUAUCAUACCAAAUUUGCUCUCAUUCAUUUUUUUCAAAGUCCUUCAUCCUACACUCUAUUAUUUUCUUUUAUUUUUACUCAUUCCAUUCACCCCAACUAAACAUAACAGGUCGACAAGGGUGAUGGAUAAUAAACAUAAACUAAUCUAACAGAAACACACACGAUUAUGAAAACUACAGCAAUUACUAGAUAGUAGUAAACUUGGAGAAGGCCCGGCUCGUUGAAUAAAGAGGCCCUGUGCUAAAUGUGGAUAUUGGACCCUUAUUAUCAAAAAACAGAAUAUUCAAUGAGGCCUCUGCUAAAUGUGUAUAUCGGGCCCUUAUUAUUGAAAAACAGAUGCACAAUUCAAUUAGCCACUAAACUGGAACACGUUAAUUGAAUGGAAAGAUAUAAUCAUGUUCAUUGAAAUAGAAGCUUAAAUUUUUGUAAGUCGAAGCUGAGAGAGAGGAAUACAGGACAAAAUCAUCAGACUCUGCAUCUUGAUUUUGUAUUAGUUAAGGUUUUAUUUUUUUCUUAUAGCGUUUUGUUUCGAUGCAGACAUACUGUAAUGGGCCUGAACUAUAAAACUCAGCAAUGGAUGCAAGUCGGAAAAACAGAAGUCUACACAGCAACGCAACUUGAGGGAGGAUUUUAAUUGAAAAACUAAACUUACAGCUCAGCAAUAUUUACAGUGAUGAAGAAGAUACAUACUUGUUUGUGAAAAGAGAGAAAAUGAAAUAUGGACUUAGAGCAUCUACAAGAGGCUCUUCAUUUAGGCUCCUAACUUGAUAUUUGAGGAGGGAGAAGCAAAAUGUUGCUCCAAGAGACUCUUAAGUGGCUCUUAAAUCUUAAGAGCCUCUUGUUUCUCUCUCCUCUCUCCUCAAAGUUAAGAGCCACCACAUGGCUCCUAACUUAUUUUUUCACAAUAAAAAAAUCCUUCCCUCCAAUCAACCUCCAUCUUUCCCUCUCUUUUGUUAUAGUGGAGCCCAAUAUAUGAAUAAAAUAUGAAAUAGAGAAGAGAUGUAGAGAGUAUUGUUGGAGUUUACACUCUUAACUUUGUCCUAAAUUACUAAGAGCCACAUUUUUUAUAUUAUAUUUAGGAGCCAACAAGGAGGCUCUUGGAGAUGCUCUAACAAGUUAGCUAUGACCCUAACUAUCUAUUUAUAUAGAUACAGCUCGUAGAAUAAUGUACUACUCCCUCCGUCCCCCUCAAUUGUUUACAUUGGAGGGGGACACGGAGACCAAGACAAUGUAUGAAAAAUGAGUAAAGUUAGAUGAAAAGUGGGUAAAAUGGUGGGACCCAUCAAUAUUUAAUAAUAGAUUUGAGAUAGUGGAGGAAAGUAGUGGGUGUAAUAGUAGUUUUUAUUGUUAAAUAUGAGAUAGUGGGGGAGGAUAGUGGGUGUAAUGAUGGGAAAAACUUAUUAUUUAUAGUAGAGUUAAUUGCAAUUGGCACCCCUUUGGUUUCGGCUUAUUGCACAUUGCACCUAAUAGUUUUGGAAAAUACACUUUGCAUCCCCAGACUUUUAACCCGUAGACACUUUGCACCCUUUCCGUUAAAUUCUACCGUUACCGUUAACUUUUGCAGGGGCAUUUUGGGAAAUUUAAUUAUAUUUAAUUAAAAUCAAACCUUUAUUUAAAUUUUUUGAUCAUCUAAACGAUAUUUUUCGGAAAAAUUUAAAGAACGAAAGUUGUAGAGAAUAAAAAGAUCUUCUUAGAACUAUAAGGUUCAAAACUUUCGUAAUUCUUUUUAUAAUUAUUUUUAAAAAAAUUCAAAAAUUAGCAAUCUUGUAAAAAUGAACAAUCGUUUUUAAAUAAUUAUUUAAAUUUUGAACCUUAUUGUUCUAAAAAGAUCUUUUUAUUCUCUACAACUUUCGUUCUUUAAGUUUUUCCGAAAAAUAUCGUUUAGAUGGUCAGAAAAUUUAAAUAAAAGUCUGAUUUUAAUUAAAUAUAAUUAAAUGUCCCAAAAUGCCCCUAAAAAAGUUAACGGUAACGGCAGAAAUUAACGGAAAGGGUGCAAAGUGUCUACGGGUUAAAAGUCUGGGGCUGCAAAGUGUAUUUUCCAAAACUAUUAGGUGCAAUGUGCAAUAAGCCGAAACCAAAGGGGUGCCAAUUGCAAUUAACUCUUUAUAGUAACGUAAAGAAAUGAGAGGGAAAUCCCAAUAUAGUAACUGUAAAGAAAUGAGAGGGACAGAGGGAGUAUCAAAUAUUUAGCCGCCGCUUGUCUUACAAAUGGUUACAAUGAUCCGUACUAGGACGCUAAUAACAGAUUUUGUCCUGUUUGCAGACUAGAGACUGUGAAAUUCAGAGUUUGUCCCUUAACGUACAGAUUCCUCGUACACUUUGUUAUGCCCAGAAUUUGAAGUUAUUUUGUUAGGAUGGAUUAUAAUCCCAAUAGAACAAAGACGAGUGUAUACUAGUAAAUUUAUGUUACAUUGGCACAUACAAUUGGAACCAUGCACAAGAUGUGUUCUGCGUACAAGGCUGUAAAAUUUUACAUGACGGGGCGAUAGUGAUACAUGCAAACGCCUUCAUAAUCCUUCUGCUAAGAAUUGAAUCAUCAAUCUUCAUUAAGUUAGUGCUUGAGUUAUUCAUGCCUAUAAAUAUUAUAUUUUAUAUAUAUUAUGAUCAUUCCAUGGAGUAACUCUCGACUGAACUCGGACGAAUACCAUCUUAAAAUUAAUUUUUAUAGUAUUAAUAAUACUAGCCUUUAACCCGUGCAAAGCACGGGCGACUAUAUAAUUUCAAUUUUAUUAUUUAUAAGUUUAAUGUAUUUUAUUAAUAUUUUAUUAUUAAUUAAAUAAAAUUUUAUUAAAUUAUAUAUACCUACUGGUUAUAUUCAUUUUAGAAAGUUUGUCUUGUACAAUAUUUUUCUAUAUUAUAACACAUUAGUAUAAAAAAUUAAUAUUUUUAUUACCAUAUGUGAUUUUUUUUCUUAAUAUUAAUAUAUGAUAAUGUGUUUUUCAUUAAUAUUAUUUCAUAUUUUGCAUAUUUCAUUGCAUAGCCUAGGUGACUAUAGUAUUCUAAAAAAUUUAGUUAUAUUAAAAUAUUGAGAUAACAUUUUAAGUUAUUGGAAAGAAUUUAUUCAUUUAUAUAUUUUAGGUAUUAAAAUGUUUUUGUUUGAGACGUGUUAAUUAGUGUAAUGUGUCCUGACAUUCUGAGGCCUUUUUUAGAUAGCUUAAGUUGGUAGGUACUGCAGUAGGGAUGAUCAAAAUCGAACCGAAAAUCGAAACCGAAACUAUGAAAAUGGGGACAAAACCGCACCACAAAAAACCGAACCAAUUAAUAACUGAACCGAAUAAAAACCGGACCACUAAUAUAGUUCUAUAUGCGGUUUGAUUUUGAAAUUUUUAAAACUGAAUACAAACCAAACCGAACCAGAAAAAAUUAAUUAUAUAUAAUUUUCGAAUUAUGUAUAUUAAUAUUUUAAUUUAAUUUUAUAGACCAUCAUAUAAUCGUCCCAUAUAUUAUGGGAUGUUUAAUUCUUUUUCUGCUUUACUUCGCCGACAUUUAAGUUUUUUUAUAUGCUAAAACAGAAGGCGACAACUAAACUGGUAAGUGUUGCACAGUGCACAGGUUACUUCAAUAAACAUUAUAAUAUCUUUCAUUUCGUAGUAGCAUUAAAUAUAAAAACUUCACCGUAUUAAAGUACUCGUGAAUACGAAUCUAACAAGAUCACUCAUGACUAUAUUUAGUUUUAUAGAUUAGAUGUAAAUUAGUAAUUUGUCUCAUGUUAUGAACAGUACCGACAUUACAAAUAGGAAAAGAAAAAAGAUACGGAGGGAGUAGUAAUUUAUAUGAGAUACUUGUGAGGGUGUUUGCCAUAGCUCAUGUAUAUAUUAUUUUAUAUAUUUAAAUUAUUUUAAAUUAUAACGUUAUUUAUAUAUUCAUAUCGUAUUUUAAUAAAUAUAUUAAAAAAUUAUAUAUUUGGUUUUGAAACCGAAACCGCACCAUUUAAAACCGAAUUCAAAAAACCGAACCGCACCAUUUAUAUAUAUGCGUUUGGUUUUGUGUUUUAAUUUUACAAACCGAAAACCGCACCGAACCGCACCAUACUCAUCCCAAACUGCAAGUGCUGAUUUUUUCUCAUCUAUAUCUCAAUGAACAGUUGUUCAGAGACAGUGAAGACAAGGCUUGGUAAUGUACAUAUAUUAAGCAUGCAAGUUGUUGAGUGGCUAAGAUGAUGUAGAUGCACGCACAACACAAGUUCUGGUCAUCCCACAUCUGAUGCACAUGAAGAUCUACUACUGCACAUAUGUGGUUGGGUUAUUGAUGUAGUUAGAAGAGUAUUGCAUCUUGCUACAAGGUUCAUAUAGCUGCAAUUGUUAAUAUUCUCUGCAGGGAAAUUGUAUUAAAUAGUAGGGCAUUCUGAUUGUGGUGAGGAUGUGUAGGGAUUAGAACAAGUCUUACAAAUUAUAUUGAGCUGCAGUCUCCUUAAAUUUUCUUACUGCAGCAGAACUAAGUUAAAGUUAAUAACUACAAGUAAUUAUUAUAGAAGUAGUAGGACACUUUCAAAAAAAUUGUGUUCCCCGGAAAGAUAACUGCUAAAACUGGUGAAAUUGUUACACAAGUGUUGUAUAGAAUUGAAUUGAAUUGACGGUAAAUUUAAAAUAGAUCUAGAUAGAAGUCAAUGGAUAAUGUAAGAUAAGCCGAAAGGCAUCCCAUCUGCUUCCAUGAAUGGCCUUUCUGAUAAAUCAACUUUUGCGAGUUCUGCAAGAGCAUUCAAAUCCAUUGAAAGCAAAGAUGCCUAAAAUUAUAGCAGAAAAGAAAGGAAGUCAAUGUCAUGUAAUAUGAAGCAGAGGAAAAUAAUGGAAGCUGCCUGAGUACUUAAAGCAAACAAAAAUAUCAACUAAUAUAGGAACAAAUUAGCUGAAUAAAACAAACAUACGAUCCUGAACCAUGGUAUGAAUAUAAAUACAAUGCUACCGGUUAUAUUGCAUAUUUUCCUUCUGCUUGUUUGAUAUUAUGCGUUCAUUUAAAGGUUCUUGGACUCCUUAACCACAUCUUUUCUUGUAUUACUAUUACAACACACAGUUCAGCACGACCUAGGGACAGGCAAAAUUGGGAAUCACCACAAUCAUCACAAUAUUAAACAAUCAUAUAUGCAUAUAUGUAGAAUGCUCCUUUAUUCUUAACACAAAUUCCUAAUUUCAAUCAAAUUGUGUCCCACAACAACUCUCCUAUCAAUCAUAUGAUAAAUACGACACUUCAGCAUCGACAAGAAGGAAUACAAGGGACAAAAAAUGGUUAAAAUAUAGAUCAGAUGGUUCUCCAGUAAGAGAACAUAGGUCACACCAUAAUAAUAUAGAAUAAAUAUAGACUAUAAUGAUAGUCAUGCACUUGUUUUUGCUGAAAUUACUAUUGUGCUGCAUCUGGUGCAUCAGUAACUGCUAUUCCUAUACCAGCUUUCUUCAGAAAGGGGGAUCAUUGACACAAUCUCUAGUCAUACCACAAAUAUGCUUCUUCUCCUGUAACUUCUUUACUAUUUCAUACUUGUGCUCACACUUAAAAAGGACCUAAUAAUAGCUAGACCAGAUGAAAUAACAAUACAAACCGACCCCAAGCAGCUGCAGUACUCUAUUAGUGCUUCAAAACAACAAAGAAAGAAAAAAAAGAGAAACAAAGAUUGUAUGUAUAGUAGAAAUCAUAGACAAGUAUAUCAUGAUCAACAGAUAAAACUUGCUCAAUCAGCUUUAUAAUAUAGUCUCACCAUAAACUCAAAAUCAACACUAUUUGUGGAUAUCCAGAUUCUUCACUCAAGUACAUCUCAAUUACUUUAUAUUCGUGUCGUAAAACACUCCUCCCUCUGUUUUCAAAAUAGAUGACGCUUAACUGGUAUCUAAUUCAAAAUCAAGUUUUUUUAAACAGAUAAAAUUUGCUCAAUCAGCUUUAUAAUAUAGUCUCACCAUAAACUCAAAAUCAACACUAUUUGUAGAUAUCCAGAUUCUCCACUCUUUUAACUGGGAUACGAAACAGUUCUGAUAUGGAACAAGAUAGACUACACCACCCCCCUUGGAUGUUCCCGGUUCUAAUUAAGCCUGAAAAUGGCUUUAUAUGACUUAUUUAGUUUGUGCACUGAAUUUGUGAUAUUUCUUCUUGAUUUGUAUGGUUUAUCCAAAUCUUACUUAUAUUUAAUUUUCCUGUUUGUUGCUGCAUUAUUACCUUGUAGGUUAAUUUUCUGCAGGCCAAUAACAAUCAUCAGCUUGCAAGGCCGCAAAGAAGGUGACAGUUCUUUUCAAUGUGGUUCUGACCGUCUCAUAGCUGAGUGAGUUGAUGUUUCAAACAACUCUCGGAUCAAACCUGGUCUGCAACAGUAAGACAUACACCUAAAAUAGCUGAAUCCCCGGCUUCCAUUCUAGGACAAGUACUUGAAGAAGAAUUAUCUUGGUAUUUAUUUAACUGCUGUUUUGUGUAAAAGCAUGUGAUAAUUUUUUUAGAACUUCCGACUAGUUGAACUGUCCUUAACAGGGCUAUGGAAGAAACAAAAUUUGUAUAAUAUUAAUGAAGUCUAGCACAAAAUAAUUGCAUUUCACAAGAAAUUUUACGUAGUAAGAUUUUAAUCAGGAUGCUAGCAAUUUAUUCAAUCAGUUUAGUAGUUUACUGUUAUAAAAGAAAAACCACAAAUACCAAACAAAUCACCUUAAAAUUUCAAGUUAAUAAUUAAUUAUGGAGUUUCAAAAAAUUAUAUUUAGAAUUUAAAAUUAUAGGUGGCAUGAUCAAUUAUUAAUUAUUGUAUACAGAACUAAAUCAGAAUAUUAUACUGAACUAUAUAUUUAAAUUUUAUAUGAUUUUUAUAUUGCUUUAGAUUAUAGACUAAUUCAUAAAUAAUAGUUUAUAAUGUUUAAUUUUAUAAUUAUCAUUUAUAUAUUAUUUUACUAUAUAUAUAAUUAAGACCAAUCUCUUUGCAUCAAAGGUGAUAUCGCUUUGUUUAUUCAUUCCUUUAAUUAUAUGUUACAGGGACAGCAGCACUGAUCUCUCCGUGAUCAUAGGGGCCAUGUAUGCAGCCGUAUUAUUUGUGGGAAUCAACAAUUGCUCAACAGUACAACCAAUUGUAGCAGUUGAAAGAACAGUAUUUUAUCGCGCAAGAGCAGCUGGGAUGUACUCUGCAAUCCCUUAUGCCUUAUCACAGGUAGUUUAUCGAAAUCUCUCGAUAUCAAUUUUCACUCAUCAAUAAAAUCUGUUCAGACCUGCUAAUCAAGGGCUUUCGUCGAUGCAGGUAUUUGUCGAGAUAGCAUAUGUGCUUGUCCAAACCAUAUACUACACUCUUAUAGUGUAUGCAAUGGUGUGCUUCGAAUGGACAGCUGCAAAAUUCUUCUGGUUCUUCUUCAUAACAUUUUUCUCCUUCCUCUACUUCACAUACUACGGAAUGAUGAUUGUGUCAAUCACACCAAACCAGCAAGUAGCCGCCAUUUUUGCAGCUGCAUUUUACGCGCUCUUCAAUCUGUUCUCCAGUUUCUUCAUCCCCAAACCAGUAAGUCACUUCCACAUUUAUCCUCUAAAAAUUCAGAAUAUCAAAAGAAAAAAAAAUCUAAGUCUGCAUUUUCUUGUUUUAUAAAAAUUACCAGAAAAUUCCUAAGUAGUGGAUAUGGUACUACUACCUCUACCCCGUGGCAUGGACUGUCUACGGAAUAAUAGUAUCACCCUAUGGCGACGUAACAGACACCAUCACAGUUCCAGGAAUGUCGACUAAACCAACCAUCAAAUGGUACAUAAAUGAUCAUUAUGGGUAUGAGUCGGAUUUUAUGGCGCCAGUAGCUGUGGUAUUAAUUGGUUUUACAGUCGUUCUUGUAUGCUUACUGCCUUAAAACAUUGAAAUUCCUGACAAAGUAGAGGACUGAAGAUCAGAGGGAGGUCUGUGAGUGUAGUAUAAUGGAGAAAUUGGACAGCAUGAAGAAGAAUAGUACUAAUGGUAAGAAAGAUUAUGACGGGGAUGAGGGUGUGGAGAGAAGGAGGGCAAGGAGAGAGAGGUCGAAGUUGAGGACAAAGAAAACGGAGAAUGGUAUUAAUGGUGGUGUAACUGUAUGUACUUCUGAUGAAAAAGUGAUUGAUAGUGCUGGGAAGAUGUACUGUAGUAAAUACUAACAUAAGAUUUUAGUUUCUACAGACCAUAACAAUAAAGUUUUUCAAUCAAGACAAAUAGAACCAAUUACCUAAUCCGACUUCCUUCCAUCAUCACUCACGACGCUUGUACGAUGAAUGCUUCCUAGCACCCCUUGCAUUCUCAUACUCAAAUUUCAACACAUGUGGUACAUGUGAAGUAUCCUUGACAUUGUUGUUGAGUCGCUCGACUAGUCGCGACUAGUCGUCGACUAGUCGAGUAGUCGGUGUGCAGGGCUCGACUGGGAUGGUCGACUAGACAGAUGUAAGUAUUUCGCCCGACUUAUGACUGACUGGUCGACUGGGUCGACUAGUCGGGUCGACUGGAAGACCCAGUCGGUCGACUAGUGUUCAAAUUCUAAAAAAAAUCAAAAACCCAGUUGUAUCAAAACCUAAAAACAAAAGCCCAGCAGCCUCCAGUCGAUUCCAAGCAGUCUCAGUCACUUCUAACAUCGAUUGAAUCGAUUCCAGUAGCUUUGUUUACUCUGUUAUUACUUACAUUUACACACACUCUGUUAUUACACACACUUGCACACUCUAUAAUCAGUAGUCACUAGUUGCAAUAGGCAUUGUUUAAUGCCAGUACACACACACAGAAUCACAGUUGCUUUGUUUAAUCUGCAGAAUGGCUGAUGCAUCGAACAAGGCUGUUUAUGCAUAAUUAAAAAGUGAGAAUGUAGAAGUUAGAACAGACAUAUAUAAUUUAUUACACAUAUAAAUAUAAGUAUAUAUAAUAUAUAAUAUUAAUUUUAUACCUUGUCGACUAGUGUCGACUAGUCUACGACUAGUCUCGACUAGUCACGACUCGACUUGCCGGAGAGUCUAGUCGACUCGACUCGACUUACCGACUUAACAACCAUGAUCCUUGAAAUAUAACACGCUCCCAAUUGGACUCUCUUCAAUCAUAGGAAAAUAUAAUUAACAAUAUAAAACCAACCCCCGUCAAGCAAAGCACCCAAUGUAACACCCUAAAACACCUGUACAACAGUAUAAGAACUAACUCUCAUCAAUAACCUCUAAUAUCAAACUUGAAAAGUACCGACUUCAAGGAGACUUCUACACAGCCUAGUUGAACUGACCUUAAGAGGGCCCUAAUUACGUGCUAAGAAUAACUAACUCUCAUAUCAAACUUGAAAAGGCAUAAUCAAAUUAUCAUAUUCAUAGGUAAUUAUCAAAUUAUCAUAGGUAAUUGUAUCUAAAGCAACAAUUAAAACUGGAUAAACAAAAAACCAAAUAAAUAAGUGAUUACCUCCUUGGACUGUAUGUGAAGAUACGAAGCUCUCCCCGAUAUGGAGACGGAGACAGAGGGCGAUGAAGACAGGGACAGAGAGCGAAGGUGAGUGUAUUGGUGAAUGUGAUGGAGAGGGAUACUGAUACUUGUAUCCUGUUCUAUUUGUUUUUGAUACUUCUAUCCUGUUCUAUUUGUUUUUGUUUUAAAAAGCAAGACUUGAAUUGUUCGUUAUUCUCAGCAGGGGUAAUAUAGGGUAAGCGACGAAACGAAACUAAAAGACUAAACCAAAAAUUUUGUACGAAAAAACAACGACCAAACCAAAAAUUGUGAAGGAAAAGUAGGACUACAAAUUAUACCCAUCUUGGCUUUUUAUAGUAUAGUAUAGAUUGAGAUUUUAAAAUUAUAUAAUCUGAAUAAUCGUAUUAUAUAUCAUUUUAAAAUUUUCAAACAAUAUAAAAUACAAAAUAAUUGCAAAAGAAAUAACUCGGUGUCCGUCCCGGACUCUAAACUAGAAUAAAUUUAAUAUAAAAUCCAUAAAUAUUAUAUUUAAAAUUAUGAUCACUAAUGGAAGGAAAAUGCUAGAUGGGGAUGGGCAUUUUACCGCCCCGCUCGACCUCAAUCCGAUUCCAGUCACGUUCGUAUCGGGGGAGCGGGGACUUUUUUGGGUAAAGGAUGGGGGAUCGGGGGAAGUUUAUUAAAUAUUCGGGGAUCGGAAAGGGUUCGCAUAUUGUCUCCCCAUCCCGAUGAGCCCAAAAACUCCUCAAUUUUCAUAUAUAAUAUAAAUAUUAUAUUUAUAUAUUAUUAUAAUACUACUUAUUAAUUAUAAAUAUAUAUUAUAUAUAUAGUUUAAAUAAUCUUCAUCAUUUUAUUAUUUAAAUGUAUUCAUAUUAUAACAUAAAUUAAUUAUAAUAAAUAUAGUUAUAUCUUCUAAUUUUUUGUGUUAGUUUAAAUUAAUACUCAAAAUGCUACAUAAAAGUAGAAACCUAUUAUGUACAAUGACAUAUUAAUACAAUUUUAAAUUAGAAUUUAUAUUAUAAUAUUUUUAAAAAAAUUAAUGAAUUCUCCAAAUCCCACAUUCAGGGCGGGGAUCGGGGAGCAAACGAAUUCCGUUCAGAAAUUGAGGCGGGUUCGGAGAUCGGAGACGGGGAUAACAUUCCGCGACUCGGAAGUGACCCAAAGCCCGUCCCUAAUGCUAGAUAUCCUAAAAAGGUGUUGCCAAAUCAUUAUCCCAAAUAUAGUUAACGACCUUCAAUAAUAAUAAAUGAUCUACAUAAAUCACCCAAUUAAAAUUAUUCAUAUGUUAUUUGAAAAAAUUUCGAUUCAACCAAAAAUAAGAAGCAUGAGAAAAAGUAAAACUCCAAGUCCUCUCGUUUAAGAGCCAUUACAUGACUCUUAUAUUACUCUUUUAUAAUAAAAUUCAUUCUCUCCCAUUUGAAUUUGAAUUUUUGUGAUAAUGGAGUUCAAAUAUGAAUAAAAUAUAAUGUUAGAAGUGAGUAUAAAGAGCAUUAGCGGAGUUUAUCAUUACACGACUCUUAAUUUAUUUUUAUAAUAAAGUAUCCAUUCCCUCUCAUUUGAAUUUGAAUGUUUGUCACAGUGGAGUUCAAAUAAAAAUAAAAUAUAAUGUUAGGAAGGUAUAUAAAGAUUCACACUCUUCAUAAUGUAUUAAUUUACUAAUAACUUAACAUUUUAUAUUAUAUUUAAGAAUAACCAGGAGCUUAUUGGAAAUGCUCUAACACAAGGAACCGAAUCCAACAGUUUCGGUUCGGGUCUUUCUACAGCGUUUUUUAUCCUUCUUGCACAAGAUCAGACUACUGAAACGAUGUGACAUGCUUGAAUGUAGCAACACAAGUACAUGCACCCAAUUGAACUACUGUGGAUAUUACAAAAACCACAAAGUCAUAUACUACACUAAGGAAGCAAUUACAUCCUUUUACUACAGAAACUCUACCUACAAAGUUAUCUAAAUCAUUAAUAUAGAGCUCCUAACAAGUGACUAAAUCAAUUAAAGAGGGACAAUACAACUGCAUAUUGUUAAUCAGCUACAACAUUAAGUGACUAUGAAAUCACUAAACCAAUGCAUACAGCAAGACCACAGCUAUAUAUUAUCAAUUCGCAACCUUUCUGUGCCCAGCAAACCAUAUCGCACAAAAUGGCUCCAGAAAACAACAGUACUCGUUCUGAAACUAGUUUGAGAACGAGAACACACGCAACAAUUAAACAAACUGUUAUUAUGGUGAUCUCCUUCUUUUCCAGAUAUGCUUGCUCGCCUGCAACUUUUUCGAUAUCUAAUCUGCAAAUCAAGUUAAACAUAACAGGAUCAACACAUGCUUCAAAACAUCAGUUAUUAUGCCAAGUAUAUUAGUUUCAAGUCAAAAUAUCAGUUAUAAUGUGAGAUAUGUUACUUUUAAGUCAAAAUACAGGUUAAAUUUGUCCUGAGCAAAUUCAUGGAAUUUUAGAAUCUUGCAGAACUGACCAUUUGAGCAGGAAAAGAUAAACGUGUAUGAGCUUAUACGACUAGUACAUGUGCGUAUCACAAACCUCAAAUUAACAUUUUCUCUUAUCACUGAUUCCAGCUUCGACAUGACGCCACUUUUCCAUGAAUCAAUGUCAGCAACUUCUUUCUCCUGCAAAAUCAUAUGAAUCACAUUAAAAAUGACAAAGUUAACAUAAAUGGUUUACAUGCCAAGUGAAACUUAAAGAGUAAUGCAGAUGUGCACGCACCAUAAUCUCUUUCCAUUCUAAAAUAUCCUUGACCUCGAUUUUGCUCUUUUCCAACAGCUUUUUAUAGUCUGCAAUUUUUUUCUCCAGGUCAGGUAUAACCUCUGUUUGUCCAUUGUUUAAUCGUUUGAUGUACUCCUCCAAUGCGGAUAAAUUUGUUUCAAGUGACCUCACCUUCUGCAUUAAUAUUUUAAGAACGACAUCCCCGUGUAUUCUACCACUUGAUUGUUGUCUAACUUUGACUGUCGGAUUGACUAUAGGAUCAGGGAUGUUGCUUACUGUGACUUGAACUUUUGGUGCAUCAACUGUUGGCUUAUUCCCAUCAUCAGCCCCUUCUACCCCUUUACUUUUACUAGAGACAUCAACCGCCUGUUUAGCUUCACCAUCAACCUUUUUAUCAUUAACGCCUGAUUCUGGUUUUGCAGACAGAGUAAUAGUUGAAUUAGGUUUUGAUAAUUUAGUGGAAGCACUUUCCUCAGAUUUUACAAUGAGAUCUUCAAGCAUCUGCUCAAUUGCAUCAUCUCCAUACACUCCCACAAGACUCAACGUGCAGUAAAAUUCUGAUCCAUAAUGACUAAGCAAAUUCAGCUUUAAGUAUCUCACCCACUUUGGUUCAGGUAGCUUAAAACUUUGAGUAUGCUUCACAUUUGCUGCGACAAAGCUUCCCAAUGAGUACCAUAUCUCAGUUGGAUAAGUCAAACUACCAGACAAAUUAAACUCCUUAAAAUUAGAAGAAUAAUGUUCAAAAUUUGCAAUUUUGACAGCAUCUACCAGCGUCUCCUCAGCGAGUUCAAUGACAACAUAUUUCCCCCCAAUUGAACAAGGAUUUCUCAAAUAUUUAUCAUGGUCUUUCCCCAAUAUGUUGCUAGCUCCUUUUGCUUCCUUGUUGUGCGCAACCACCUUUGCACCCUUUGAAUCAGAGGCGUAGUUGUAUUCCGUCCCAUCAGGUUCAAGUCUAUGGGUAAUAUUAACGCGUGCAUUUGGUGUAGAGCCUUUUUCUUUCAUUGUCAUGUUUAGUGAUGCAUCAAAAGAUGCUUCAUAUGUUCUAGCAGUAUCAAAUUUUCCCGUUUUUGUAUAUCUAUCUUCAUCUUGCAGGUUAAGCUCACACAUCAACUCCCUAUACCCUAAUAUACUCUGGACUAAAUCUUUCCGACGACAUGUUCCCUGAGGUGAUUUCCUCGAAUUUGUAUUGUUAUGAUCCUGACCACUAGGUUUACUAAUAUUCAGAGGCACUUUAACUUCGAAAACUAAUUCUUGCUUAUAAUCAUCAUCCCUAUUUUCUACAAAAUCAUAUGCGAUGUCAGAAUGCUUGUCAUAAGAUAUACUUGAGUUAGUCAUGCUCCGAUUACUGGACUGUACAUUCCCUGUUCAAUACAAAUCUCAAUCACUACAAACUAUUACAUCCAAAAAAUCUAAAUACCAAACAAACAAUGAUCAUUUCAUUCAUAAUAAGUCUACAUAAUUUGACAUUACUACAAGGAACUCGCAUAAUUUCGACAGAAAAUCAUGAACCAUAUAUCCCACAAAUUCUUCCAGAAACAGAUUAACCCGCAAUAAAAAAAUCAAAAACACUAAAUUAAAUUCAAAAAAAAAUAAUCAAAAACCAAAGAGUGCCUAAAAUUUAACCCAAAGAUUCCAAAACCACUAAAAUUAAAUGCAUAAAAAUGGGUCUUAACUCACAAUAAAAAAAUGAAAACCACUAAAAUAAAAAAGUAAAAAGAUAAAAAAUUUACCUCCAUUACCGUAUGUAAGGCCAAGCUUAGAAUAAAACAAGAAAACAAGAAACCAAAAGGAGAUCAUUAAAGGCAAAGAAAGCUCAAACAAGCUCUUCUUCUCAAUGUCUUUUUGUGGGCCCCUUUUUCCAGACUUGAUGUAUAUGAGAUCACCGUUGUGGGUUUUCUUUUUCCUCAUAUCUCAUCGUCAUUUAACUUUUCCGGCGGCCGUUAAAAUUCAUCGGCGACAGGGGUGUUUUAUGUAGUUGGUGAUAUAAAUUGGAUUUAUUAUGUUGUGUUGCAUGUGGGGUUGUGUGAGAAUGUCUGAAAAUAUGUUUUAAUCGGAGAGGGAUGGCUUGUUUGGUUGGUGAGGUGGUGUUUUUGUGUGGCUGUGCAAAGGUUUGCUUCCGAAAGUACCGGAAAGUGUUUUACUACUUCCACUCCACUAUUUUUCUGUUUUUAAAUACUCCGUCUGUUUUUUAAUAUAUGACGAUUGACUUUUUGGCACACAUUUUUAAGUGUUUUGACCGAGUAGUUAAAAUAUUAUUUUUGAAAUUUUCUUUUUCUGAAUAAAAAUAUAUAAUCAAAAUUUUAAUUCACCAAAAAAAUCAAUUAAAAAUAAUGAUUUUUACUAUCCAGUCAACCCACCUAAAGGUACGUGCACAAGUCAAAAGUGACAUAUAAAAAAACAGAGGGAGUAUGACUACAGUCUACACGUGCAGACGUGCUACUUUCGUUUAUUGUUUUCAUGACUGUCUUAAUAUUUUUUUAUUAAAGAAUUUGAAUAUUUUAUGUGUUAGACAAAGAAAACAAAAUAAUUAUUUAUUUAACUCGUUUUUUCGACAGUUUGGGUCUGUCUCGGCUGGGUUUUGACGAGUGGUUUCUGUUAAUAAAACUAAUUGUAUGUCAAAAAAUAAUAAUAAGGAGAUGAUCUGAUGAUGAUCAAGCGUCUACAUGUUAAAUGUUAUUCUCUUCGUUUCUUUUUUUUUUUAAGAUUUUUUAUUUUUGACAUGUAUUUUAAAAUAACAGGUAAAAUAUAAUUUCAUAACUUAUUUUUAAAUUUAUUUUCUAAAAUAUUUGAUAUUAAAUUUUUAUUAAAAAAAAUUAAAAAUAAUUUAUAAAACUACAUUUAAUAUAAACGUAUUAGAAUAUGUGCUAGUUUUCGCAAGAUAAAGAACCUAGAAAGACAAAUAGAGUAUCUUGUCUCCAUUUUUAUUAUCCUAUAAGAAUUUCGGUACUGAUAUUACCAACCGGAGACACAUGCUCUCUGCUUCCACACACACACUGUUUUCAGGAUCUGGUGUGUUCAUGACCCAGAAGUAGAUAACUUCUUACACCAGGACACAUUAGCUGGAAAAAUGGUGGGCUUGUGAGAUAGUUGCGGAGUGGUCAGAAGCCAAGUCAUUCAUAACAACAUCCUGUAAGGAAUCUGGUAAAUCGCAAAGUUGUCUGGUUUAAGGCAUAACCAUAGGGCAUUUCAAUAUCAAAGCCAACAUCUGCGACAAACUCAAAGAGUCCAGAAAUUUGCUAGACUCUGGCUAAGAAGAUCCUGUUAUAUAGUCCGCAACAAGCCUCUGACAUUGUACAGAUGGUGUAGAAUUUCGUAGCUCAUUUCUUCCAUAUUUACAGUUUACAUUCAGUUGUGAAUAUUUAUGCCGACAUUUUUUUAAAAUUCAUGCAAAAAACUAUAAAAUCCACAUGCAUACACAGAUUGUAAUGUGGAACAUCCAGAAACAUAAAUAACAACAGAACACGAGUUUGGGGUUCCAAUUUUCAUAUUUAUCACAACAAGGAGGUCCACCUCACGGAGUAAACUUGCCACCAUGCUUUAGAAUGGGGAGCUGGGACACCUCCUCAACAAUCCGAGUUUAUCUUUUGCCCGGGCCUCAUCUUUGGCUUCUUCUGCUUCAAUGUUCUGCAUGAUGUUCACAAAAAACAUCUCAAAAUUUAACAUAUUCAAGAAUGCAGGACAACAUUUCCACCAAAUUUUCAUCAUCGGUUAGUACAAAACAUUGAAACUUUACAUAAAAAAUGCACAAUUCAAAUGGCACAAACCUCCACAAGGAAUGACAUCAUCACAUUGCACCAUUUCUGUAAAAUUGUGUUUAUGGGCUCACAAGAUUAGUUUGAGUGAAUAGUGCUGGUCUUUAACGCUGCCUGUUCAUGUCACUCAACAAAGAGAGUUUUGUUAACACAAGAAGCUAUUGUAAACAAAUAAAUUCUAAUAAAUUGAAGCUAGAUGACCAGGAAUAGGGUAUAUACCAAUCUAUGUCUGAGGUAACUGGUAAGCAUUCUUAACUUUCCAAUGAUUCAGCUCUGCUUCUAGUUCAACCGUGUACGCCUGUCCAUACAAAUAAAACAUUUGAGGUAUCACAACAGUAAAAAAUACACACUUCAGUUUAGAAACAAGAUAAGAGCGGUACAUGUUUUCUUGCUCUGGAUCUUACUGCAGACUCCCUGUUUUUCAGUAUCUUCUUUCGACGGUUCUCAAUGACCCUUUCCACAGGGCCAUUCCGCUUCCUUCCCUAUCCCAUCAGAGGAAACAUGACUCAUGUUGGUAUUACUCCCCCUCCAUGAACACUAUAGGCAAGUUGGUAUGUGCUGUCGCUACUUAUUCCACCUGGCAAGCAAGCCGCUACACUUGCUCUACCAAUUUGUGGCAGUGAUUUGAAUAGAGUAAGAAUAUUAAGCUACCAGCACCACCAUAUCCCAGAACCAUAAAGCUAGAUGCUGCUGUAUUUUCGUAGUUUACAUGCAUACCAUAGGCCAGUUGAGAGUGAGGCUGUGGCUGAAGCUGAGGCAGCUGAGGGGGAAGAGAAGGAGGAGGAGGUGGUUGUGCUUGUCUGGCACUUUCUUCUCGGACUACACCUGCCCUGACAAAAAAUUCCUCCAGUGUCAUUUUUCCAUAUGCAGGUUCGCUUUGCCUGGAACCAGAAUGAUCGGUGCUUUGCUGUGUUCUACUGAUCUCAGACCACACUUCUGCCCCUCUUUUCAAGCUCAUUUAUUUAAUUUUUUUAAAUUGAAAUAUUGAUUCCAGUAAUCGACCAAUAACAUGAUAUGAGAUAUGAUACCUUAAAAGCAUAUUAAUUUAACUCGUUUCCUCAACCUCAUAGGACUACACUGCGCAAACCAAACGACCCCUUGGAGUCUGUUUUAUGAUACCGGAUUUUAUUGGCGAUUUACCCAUUCACUGACUUUUGCUAGCCCUUUUCAAAUUUAAUCUUAAAAUUUUACAUGUUUAUAUAAUAAGUCAGAGACUGACAAUAUGUAAAAUAUGUGAGAACCUGAUUUAAUUUCAUAAGUUGGUAGGUUGUAUUUUUUUGAACAACUUAUUUUAUUUAAUGAUUUUUCUAAUAUAAAUCAAUUUCAUCAUUCAAAUGAAUAACAUAAUAAAUUACUUUUAUUAUUAUAAUUUUAAUAACUUAUAAGUCACAUACAAUGUAAAUUAUCUAGAUAACUUAAAUUACACACCUAUCAUGACAAAGAGAAAUACUUAUAUUAUAUGGAGGUAGAGUAGGGGUUUAUUGGUACCAUAAAUAUUCUAUAAAAAUGACAAAACCGAAAAUAUAAGGAUUACAUUUAAUCAUUUUUUGUUGGAACUUCUUGCAGUUACAAUUAAACUCAAAUAUAUUGUUCUAAUGGGGCUCCAGGUUUAUUAAAGAAAGAAGCUGCUCUAAUUCUUCUGCUACUUGCUUUGCAUCAGGUCUUGAUUUGGUAUCUACUGAGGUGCAUCUAAGUGCGAGGGAAGAGGCUGUUGAUGCUGCUCCUACAGUGUAUUGGCCUUCCAAAUGUGCAUCCAUUAUAUCCAAAAUCCCAUGCUCUUUGCUGAGCCGAGACUGAACCGAAGAAGCCAGGUUCACCUCAUUGUCGGCUUUUCGUCCUGUCAAAAGUUCCAGGAGGACAACUCCAAAGCUGUAGACAUCGCUUUUCAAUGUUAAUUCACCUUCAUAAGAAUAGAUUAUCAUGGGAUUAGUAGAUAAUACAGAAGCAAGGAGUAUGUGCCCUGCUUGAUUAGAGAUAUUUGCAAUCUACUUCCAGAAAAAAUAUAACAUGUACACAGCUAAACCCUUUAGACGUAAGGUUAUGUGAAAUAUUAACCUGUAUGAUAAUAUUCGGGAUCUAUAUAACCGAAUGUUCCCUGAACACGUGUAGUAACAUGGGAUCUUUCCUCUUCUGGUCCGUCCUUAGCCAGACUAAAACCAGAGAGCUUUGCAUUGUAUUUCUGUCAGUAACAGAAAUUUUGUCAGGCAAAAGUAUAUUUUUAGGGGGAACAAUGGUCGGUAGUAAAUUUUAACCAUCAUUGUUUCUACAUACUGAAUCAAUCAAUAUGUUGGAUGUUUUGACAUCACGAUGUAUAACAUUUACUCCUGGACCAUGAAGAUAUGCAAGCCCCUUAGCAGCUCCAUGAGCAAGACCUAUACGAAGUUUCCAGGAGAGCCGUUGAGAAGUAGAAACCCCUGUUUCAAGUGAAUUAAGUAGCUGCGUCAAACAACAGUUUUUCACAGGCAUAGCUUACAAAACCCAGGUUUUUCCCCUUCUUAAGAUUUUUACAAUUUUACGCGGAGCCCACCAUCUAAUAACUUAUGACGAAUAUUAUACGAGCGAUGAAAAAUUGAACUUAAGACGCAUUCAAAAGCGACAGAUAUUUUCCGUCGUAAUUGUGUCCAUUUACGACAGAUGCAGUGUUAUAAGAGGAUAAUUGACUAGAUCAGAGCUAAUAAUAUUAAGAAACUCACGCAGAUGCUGGUCCAAGCGUCCAUGAAGUGGGUGCUCAAGUACUAGAAGCCGCUCCUUUUCCAAGCAAUAUCCAAUCAGUUUUACGAUAUUAGGAUGACAAAGUUUUCUUAAGGUAUCGAUUUCUUUCUGUAGUAUAAGAGGUGACAGAGUUCUUUAGUAGCUUAAAUAAAACACAACAAAAAUUGUAAAACUAAAACAAAAAGAUCACAGGGAAAUGUAUUGCAGGCAAAAGUUGAAAAGUGAGACUAACCAACCACACCUCCUUGAAAUUUGGGUUAUCUUUCAAUCUCUUUAUUGUAGUAAUCGGACCAGUACCCUUAUAAUAAGUAUAAUAAUCAUCAUUCCCCCACAGAGCACCGGGAUCGAACUUGCUGGUAGCUGUCCUGAGAUGAUGGAAUGUGUAACUCUUCAAAUUUGAUGGCUUCAUGAUGAGCUUUGAACAGGGCUGUUUGAGACUUUUUUUUUGAGGCCCUGUGCUAACUAUAAGAAUGAGGUCCUCCCAAAUGACAACACAAAAUUUUAAUAUAUUUAAAAUAAUAAGAUAUCAUCCAUAAAAUUAUACUACUACAACUGAAAAAUUGUUUGAUUGCAACUACUACAAAAAACAUCAACUAUUACUUGAACUUGUCACUUCUUCUAGCGUUUUUUGAAGUGAAUUCAUCCACCAAGUCUUCAUAAUCAAUUGGUUGGAGGCUUUUAAAAAAUAAAAUUCAGAUAAUUUCUACACCCAUUUGAUGAACACCGGAGCUUGAAAUCUUUGAUGGAGUCUGGAGAAGAAAUGGCAUGACAGUGGAAUGGACAAAUGAGUCACUAAAAUAUGUUUGCUCGUUAAAAGUUUUGUUUUUUUGGAUAGUUAGACUUAAAUAUGUGUGUGGCCAUGUGGGAUUUAGCUUACACAGUGUACUAGUUUGUGGGGGUGGGGGGAGGAAUAAGAAGAGACAUGCAUAGCUCGAUCUUGAGAAUUGAUUAGUGUUUAAAUAAAAUAAUGUUAACAAUUAAAGAGAUGUUAAUAUUAUAUUAUAUUUAUCAUGAGUAUACUAAGAGAUAGACAGAAGUAGUCAUAUAAAAACGGCCCUGGCUUUGAAUCCCUGUUGACUGGCGUACUUGGCCAAACCUAUUUUUAGCGUAUUCGUGUAGCUUUUGUUAAAGAAACUAUAGGUCAAUUUAUGAUUUAUAAAUCUAUAUAGAUGAAAUUGAAGAUCUUAAUUUUUUUGUUACUUAAUUUGGAUUUACAAAACGUAUUACAGUGAGAUUACCUGAUAUGACCCGAGCUGCAAGUGUCAGCAAAGUAGCAAAUCUUUGAAAAGAAGAAGACUGCUUCUCUUUCUCGGGGAAGAAUGAAGAAGACUGCUUUUCCUGAUGCCUACUGCUGGAAAUACCAUCCAGCUCAUCAUCGGAAUUUUCAUUCUCCACCUCAUGGUCUGAUACAUCUCCUUCCUCCACCUCAGAGUCUGAUAUAUCUAUUUCCUCUUGGUUCUCAUCACUAGUUAUCUUUUCAGUCCUCUUUUCUUGCAAGGCCAAGGCAGACUCAAGACCAACAACAACCUCAGCCAUAGUGGGACGAUGUUUAGGUUCGGUCUGUAAACACUGGAUUGCAACUUUCACGAACAUCUCUAGAGAAUCAGGAUACACAUUAUCUUUUAUUCCCUCAUCAAUAAUUUCCCCCAGUCUUUUCUCUCUGAAGCAAUAUUGUGCCCAUCUAGCUAAACCAAUUUGCUCUUCAUCCAGACUCUUGUCCACUGCUGGCCUUCCACACAAGACCUCAAAUAACACAACACCGAAGGCAUACACGUCGGAUUUCCUCGUGAGCCUUUGGGUUUGGAAAUAAUCAGGAUCAAAAUAUCCAAAGGUUCCUUUCACCUGAGUGCUUACGAAUGUAUGCGUCUGAUUAGCUGGACUUGUUCUAGAUAAUCCGAAAUCAGAAACCUUAGCUGCAAAAUUCUGGUCAAGUAGGAUGUUAGUGCUCUUUACAUCACGGUGUAUGAUUCUCUGGUAAAUCCCUGUUCCAGUGUGAAGGUAAUCCAGUCCUCGAGCUGCUCCGAUACAAAUCUUGAGACGUUGAACCCAUGAAAGAGGCGAAGAAGAAGUGUCAUCUUGUCUAAGCCUCUUAUGAAUAUGAUCGGCUAACGUACCACCUGCCAUAAAUUCAUAAACAAGAAUCAUCUCAUAACCUUCAUUACAGUAACCAAUUAAAGACACUAGAUUGAUGUGCCGAAUUUUUGAGAGCAUCUCAAUCUCUGCACGGAAUUCUGUGGAUCCUUGUUUCGAAGUUGAUUUCAACCGUUUUAUGGCAACUAGAGUUGCUCCCAGAGUCCCUUUGUAAACAUUUCCAAACCCGCCUUUUCCGAUCACUAAUUCGAUGUGGAAGUUACGUGUCGCACGCUUCAUCUCAUUAAAGGAGAAACGGUAACAUGAUUGUCGAGUAGACGAUGAUUGAAGCCAGUUUUUUUGUUCCACGACUUCUGCUUCUUGAAGUUUUUGGAGCAUGUAAACUACGAUAUUCAAGAUGGUAAUAAGAAUAAUUGCU